GAAUUGACGGAAGGGCACCAUCAGGUCUGGAUUGUGCGGCUCAAUUGGAUUCAACGCCCGAAACCCCACCAGGACAGGAGCGCUCGAUGAAGCACCGGCCGAAUACCUCUGCCGAUGAGCGUGCAGUUGGUGCAUGGCCGCCGUAGUUCGUGAGGUGACUUGUCUGGUUUAUUCCGACAACGAACGCAACCACAAUGCUCUACUAUCCGGCGAGCCCCUCGCGGGUCCGCAAGAAACUGGAGCAGACCAAUCGCUCGACGGGCUCUAGCCCAAGGCGAAGGAAGCUAUGGCGAUGGCAGGUCUGUGAUGCCGCUAGAUGCCCUGGAUCGCACGCGCAAUACAAUGGCGACCCAAGCGCGCAGGUUCGUCCGAGAGGACUUACAAAUCGCACGAAAAGUC
Molecule: ribosomal RNA, 399 nt
Filed under: uncultured Paramyxida
Lineage: Eukaryota; Endomyxa; Ascetosporea
Description: SSU rRNA
Rfam family: Eukaryotic small subunit ribosomal RNA
Source: RNAcentral